RNAcentral lists this ribosomal RNA (402 nucleotides) under Triticum aestivum (bread wheat). Its description in RNAcentral is "partial small subunit ribosomal RNA". Lineage: Eukaryota; Viridiplantae; Streptophyta; Magnoliopsida; Poales; Poaceae. The record is from RNAcentral.
AUGCAUCUAGUCCAGAAUCAGAAUCAGGGGAACAACAACAAUAACAACAACCCACCACCACCACCACCUGUUGAUCACUUAGCCCGAUUUCUAAGGAUGAAUCCGCCGGUGUUCUCUAGUAGCACCGAGCCGAUAGUUGCAGAUGAUUGGCUCCGCAAGAUUGGAAGGGAGUUGACCACUGUAGGAUGCACAGAUGCGGAAAGAGUGCAUUUUGCCUCACAUCAGCUUGAUGGACCCGCAACAACAUGGUGGGAGAAUUACACUGUCACCUAUCCCAUCGACACUGUUACGUGGGACAAGUUUCAGCAGGCCUUUCGCACAACCCAUGUAUCAGCAGGAGCUAUGGCCAUGAAGAAGCGUGAGUUUCGCAACUUACGCCAAGGAGGACGCACCAUCGGCUAG